RNAcentral lists this ribosomal RNA (388 nucleotides) under uncultured Corynebacterium sp. RNAcentral's name for it is "bacterial SSU rRNA". It matches the Rfam family "Bacterial small subunit ribosomal RNA", at positions 65 to 457 of the family's 1533-position model. Lineage: Bacteria; Bacillati; Actinomycetota; Actinomycetes; Mycobacteriales; Corynebacteriaceae. The record is from RNAcentral.
AACGGAAAGGCCUUUUCGGAGGUACUCGAGUGGCGAACGGGUGAGUAACACGUGGGUGAUCUGCCCUGCACUCUGGGAUAAGCCUGGGAAACUGGGUCUAAUACCGGAUAGGACUGCACUUUAGUGUGUGUGGUGGAAAGUUUUUUCGGUGUAGGAUGAGCCCGCGGCCUAUCAGCUUGUUGGUGGGGUAAUGGCCUACCAAGGCGGCGACGGGUAGCCGGACUGAGAGGUUGGUCGGCCACAUUGGGACUGAGAUACGGCCCAGACUCCUACGGGAGGCAGCAGUGGGGAAUAUUGCACAAUGGGCGCAAGCCUGAUGCAGCGACGCCGCGUGGGGGAUGACGGCCUUCGGGUUGUAAACUCCUUUCGCCAGGGACGAAGCGUUUUG